Molecule: ribosomal RNA, 370 nt
Filed under: uncultured Staphylococcus sp.
Lineage: Bacteria; Bacillati; Bacillota; Bacilli; Caryophanales; Staphylococcaceae
Description: bacterial SSU rRNA
Rfam family: Bacterial small subunit ribosomal RNA
Source: RNAcentral
UAGGUUGACUGCCGGUGACAAACCGGAGGAAGGUGGGGGAUGACGUCAAAUCAUCAUGCCCCUUAUGAUUUUGGGCUACACACGUGCUACAAUGGACAAUACAAAGGGCAGCUAAACCGCGAGGUCAUGCAAAUCCCAUAAAAGUUGUUCUCAGUUCGGAUUGUAGUCUGCAACUCGACUACAUGAAGCUGGAAUCGCUAGUAAUCGUAGAUCAGCAUGCUACGGUGAAAUACGUUCCCGGGUCUUGUACACACCGCCCGUCACACCACGAGAGUUUGUAACACCCGAAGCCGGUGGAGUAACCAUUUAUGGAGCUAGCCGUCGAAGGUGGGACAAAUGAUUGGGGUGAAGUCGUAACAAGGUAACCGUA